GUGGGGAAUUUUCCGCAAUGGGCGAAAGCCUGACGGAGCGACGCCGCGUGGAGGAUGAAGGAUUUCGGUCUGUAAACUCCUGUCAGGGGGGACGAAUCAACUGACGGUACCCCCAAAGGAAGCAUCGGCUAACUACGUGCCAGCAGCCGCGGUAAGACGUAGGAUGCGAGCGUUGUUCGGAUUUAUUGGGCGUAAAGCGUACGUAGGCGGCUUUUUAAGUCUGGUGUUAAAGCUAGGGGCUCAACCCCUGUGUUGCACUGGAAACUGGAAGGCUUGAGUGUGGUAGGGGAAGGUGGAAUUCCGAGUGUAGCGGUGAAAUGCGUAGAUAUUCGGAAGAACACCGGUGGCGAAAGCGACCUUCUGGGCCAUUACUGACGCUGAGGUACGAAAGCUUGGGGAGCGAACGGGAUUAGAUACCCUGGUAGUCC
This 428-nucleotide ribosomal RNA is filed under the name uncultured bacterium. Its description in RNAcentral is "bacterial SSU rRNA". It matches the Rfam family "Bacterial small subunit ribosomal RNA", at positions 354 to 796 of the family's 1533-position model. The record is from RNAcentral.